Molecule: long non-coding RNA, 1644 nt
Filed under: Elaeis guineensis (African oil palm)
Lineage: Eukaryota; Viridiplantae; Streptophyta; Magnoliopsida; Arecales; Arecaceae
Source: RNAcentral
ACUCUUUCAACGAUGUGCAUGCCCUCUCUGGUGCGCCUCCAAAACUCGAGUACAACUCCAUUACAUCCAUAUUUAUAGAAAGACUGAUGUGAGAACGUAUUGUUCCCCAUGACCCUUUUUGUUUAUAUAUCUCAAAAUACAUUGGUUAUUUCAUAUUAAAAAAGGAGAAAAAUUAGAAAAGGAAAAAAAAAAUCAAAGAGGGAUAUCACCAUGCUUUUAUGCACGUUUGUCAUUUCUCCAAUCUGAUGCAUCUUAUGCAUUUUAGGCUGCACUUCAAACAUCAUCAACAGAACGAUAGAAAACCUAAAAGCAGUUAAAGAAAUUAAACAUAAGAAGGCUAUGCGGCCAUGCCAAGCUUGGCAUUCUUGAGGCUUAUUGCUCAAAAUUUAAUAUAUUUUUUAGCUGGCCAUUUCUCACUAUUUCAAUAAAUGAGGAGCAGGGAGAUUUCUUGACAUUGUUUUGUUUUCCUAUUUUUUAUUUUAAAAAUAAAAUAUGAAACUCAAGAUAGAAAAUCUGUUUACUAUUCAACCAAAGAAAGGCUUGGUGUUGUUAUUUUAAUUUUUCUUUCUUUGAAAUUUGUUUUCAUAAUUUUUUUGAAAAAAUGAAACUCAAAUUACUUUAUUUUUAUUUGUUUGAAAAAAUAACAAAAAUUUACUAAAAAGGUGAAUCUCUUUCCAUGAAAUUCCUCGGUUUAUUUCUUCAUCAUUUGGAUCUCUGCCUCUCAUGUUAUUACUUGCGACUCAUGUUGUGAUUCCCACCGCCACCCCUCGAUCCUAUUUCUUCUAUAUUCUUUCCCUUUUGCAACAAUGGAAUCUUUAUCUCUUCCUUUAUAUUAUUGCAAUCCUAAACUUUCUCAAUCCCCAAUCUACUCUUUAUUAUCUCUGUUGCCACCGCAAUAGUUCUAAUAGUCAUCACCUCUACCUCUAUCUCCUUUUCAUCCUGUCUCUCUUCUGUCCACUCUUUCACUCUUCCUCUCCUCAAACUUUAAUCUAAACCCCUUUCUUCAUACAAUUUAGAUUCUUAAUUUUUUCUCUAUUAUCACUACUAUUAUUAUCACUACCAUUGACUGUUGCCAUCGCUUUUGUCUCCACUCUCCUAUCUUCUUUUUGUUCCUUUCAUCCUCUUCAAUAUCAAUCGAUCUAGUAUAGCAAAGGAGUAAUCUAAUUUUUCAAAUGGUUGACCAUAAAACUAUAAUAUUACAUCAAACAUUUUCAAAAUAACAAAAUAAGAGUGUAACUUCCUUUUUUUUAACAAAAAAAGAAAAAUAGAAAUUAAGGUAAACACAAAUCAAAGAUGUCUAUAAAUUAUGAUAAAAAUUGAUGGUUAGGAGUGCGCAUUGCUUCAUAAAAAAAAAAAACUUCAAUAUGACAAAUCUUAUAUUCAUGUGCAAUCGUACAUAUGACUAAUCUUAUACUCACAUCUAAAGGCUGAAAUGAAAUUAAAGAUAUAGAAAAUAUAUAAAAUUAGUUGGGUAUGAUCAUACCAGCACUAGAGCAUCAGAUUCUACUGAAAAUACACAGUUUAGCAUGUUUGGACAAGAGUUGUUUUUGAAUGGAUGGCCUCUGGGAAGUCCAUGUAUUGCAAACUUUAGUCCUUAUGCUGCACAUCUGCCAACCCUCUUUUUUCUGCGCUUUUGAAAGUAUC